Molecule: ribosomal RNA, 449 nt
Filed under: uncultured bacterium
Lineage: Bacteria
Description: partial 16S ribosomal RNA
Rfam family: Bacterial small subunit ribosomal RNA
Source: RNAcentral
AACGAACGCUGGCGGCAUGCCUAACACAUGCAAGUCGAACGAAGCCUUCGGGCUUAGUGGCGCACGGGUGCGUAACGCGUGGGAAUCUGCCCUUUGGUUCGGAAUAACAGUUGGAACGGACUGCUAAUCCGGGAUGAUGACGAAAGCCCAAAGAUUUAUCGCCAGAGGAUGAGCCCGCGUAGGAUUAGCUAGUUGGUGGGGAAAAGGGGCACCAAGGCGACGAUCCUUGCCUGGUCUGAGAGGAUGAUCAGCCACACUGGGACUGAGACACGGCCCAGACUCCUACGGGAGGCAGCAGUGGGGAAUAUUGGACAAUGGGCGAAAGCCUGAUCCAGCAAUGCCGCGUGAGUGAUGAAGGCCCUAGGGUUGUAAAGCUCUUUUACCCGGGAUGAUAAUGACAGUACCGGGAGAAUAAGCCCCGGCUAACUCCGUGCCAGCCGCCGCUGUAA